GCCAAAAAAUGGGAAAGAUCAUUUUGGCAUUCCUGGUGACAUUCUGAGCAUCUCACAACAACCCCCUGCCCCUUGGGGUCCUUGGAUCUGAGGGGUGGAGACCCGCAGAUGCCUCUGGCUGGCUGUGGGUUGAGGGCUCCGGACCAGCGGCAAGGAGAGUCACCCCAAGCGCCCACAAGGCCCAGAGGAGGGAAGGGAAACAGGCCACUCCAGAGGGAAUCGGCUUCCCCGGAAACCUCUGCACACCCCUUCCUGUGCUUUAAAGGAACAUUGGCUUUUUGGCGGUAGAGAUACUGCAGCUGGGCCGCCCUGGCUGCACAGGAGGCCGGGUGGCGUGUGGUGGGAAGCCUGCACUUGGACGUGGUUUUAACCCCGGGGCUCUGUUUGUGUCCCGGGAUUGCCCGCCCGGGUUCCUUCAGGCCUGAUUCCAUUUUCACUUCUUGGCACUGCCUGAUUGAGAAGGAAGCGUAUGCCUCCAGCAAGAUGGGCGGAGUCAGCAGAGACGCUGACCACUGAGUCCGAGAGCAGAGAGCUGGGGCUGCGACCAGCUCUGAUGGAGAUGGAUGCUUUCUGGACCUCCUAGACACAGCAGGAGCCCAGUGAGAGGGUCUGGCUGCUCCCACCCAGAGACCCCAGAGAAGCCUGGCAUGGAGAGCAAGCUUCAUGUUGCCGGGAACGCUUGGAGUGACAGCUCGGGGCUUGUGUCCCAACCCAGCAGAUGACCAAUGGAGGGAAAUAAAGUGGAACUGAAACC
Molecule: long non-coding RNA, 754 nt
Organism: Mustela erminea (ermine)
Lineage: Eukaryota; Metazoa; Chordata; Mammalia; Carnivora; Mustelidae
Exons: 4
Source: RefSeq, a predicted model, not a curated record